CAUGCUGAUAAAGUGCAGACUAAGGAC
RNAcentral lists this small RNA (27 nucleotides) under Bombyx mori (domestic silkworm). Its description in RNAcentral is "ovarian small RNA-4746". Lineage: Eukaryota; Metazoa; Arthropoda; Insecta; Lepidoptera; Bombycidae. The record is from RNAcentral.